UGACGGUAUCAUAUGAAUAAGCACCGGCUAACUCCGUGCCAGCAGCCGCGGUAAUACGGGGGGUGCAAGCGUUACUCGGAAUCACUGGGCGUAAAGAGCAUGUAGGCGGGUGAAUAAGUUGGAAGUGAAAUCCUAUAGCUUAACUAUAGAACUGCUUCCAAAACUGUUCACCUAGAGUAUGGGAGAGGUAGAUGGAAUUUCUGGUGCAGGGGUAAAAUCCGUAGAGAUCAGAAGGAAUACCGAUUGCGAAGGCGAUCUACUGGAACAUUACUGACGCUCAGAUGCGAAAGCGUGGGGAGCAAACAGGAUUAGAUACCCUGGUAGUCCACGCCCUAAACGAUGUACACUAGUUGUUGCUAUACUAGAUAUGGCAGUAAUGCAGUUAACACUUUAAGUGUACCGCCUGGGGAGUACGGUCGCAAGAUUAAAACUCAAAGGAAUAGACGGGGACCCGCACAAGCGGUGGAGCAUGUGGUUUAAUUCGACGAUACGCGAAAAACCUUACCUGGCCUUGACAUAGUAGGAAUCUUUAAGAGAUUAGAGAGUGCUAGCUUGCUAGAACCUACAUACAGGUGCUGCACGGCUGUCGUCAGC
Molecule: ribosomal RNA, 594 nt
Filed under: uncultured bacterium
Lineage: Bacteria
Description: bacterial SSU rRNA
Rfam family: Bacterial small subunit ribosomal RNA
Source: RNAcentral